AUGGCCGAGCACGCGGUUGCCGCCGUGCUGCAGAGGGCAGGCGCCACGGUGAUCCAAGAAGUCGCUUCUCUGGGCCAGGUUCCUGCCAAGGUGGAGGCCCUCAAGUCCGAGCUCAAGCGCAUGCAGUGCUUCCUCAGGGAUGCCGACGCGAGGAUGGAGAGGGGCGAGAAUGAGAUGCUCAGCCAACUGGUGUCGGAGGUCAGGGACGUCGCCUACAGCGUCGAGAUCAUCAUUGACACGGCCAACAUCUUGGCCAGGGACAACAGCAGACCGCCGUCCCUCCUCGGCGCCAUAUCCAAGGGCGCCUGUUACCCCGUCCACUGCAAGCGCCUGUACAGCAUUGGGAAAAGAAUCGAUCAGGUCACCGCAAGAGUUGGUGCGAUCUUUGGAGAAUUCACAAAGUACAGCAUUGCCAGCACUAGACUGAAUGAGACAAGAUACAGUAUGGAUGACACCGAGAGUCUGCGCGCAAGAAGACUGACGCACCCGGGUUUCGGGGAUGAGGUCGAUGUCAUUGGCUUUGACAGUGAAAUCAACCAGGUCAAGGAUGAACUGCUUGACUCGGAGAUCAAGGACCUCACCGUCAUCUCCCUUGUUGGUCCAGGAGGGGCAGGGAAAUCAACCAUUGCCAGGAAGGUCUAUAAUCUUGUCGCGAAAAAGCAUUUCAACUCCUGCGUAUGGAUAUGCAUCUCACAGCAAUUUACAGUCUAUGGUGCACUGAAGGAUAUAGUUAAAGGGGCCAUGGGGAGUCAAGACUUUGAAGAAUUAGGAACAAUGAGCGAGAUGGAAAUUAUAAAGAAGAUCCACAGUUUUCUCAAGGAUAAAAGGUACCUGGUGGUUUUAGAUGAUGUCUGGAGAAUGGAAGACUGGGAUAUGGUCCAAGCCGCCUUUCCUGAUGUGAAAAAUGGAAGCAGAAUUGUUUUGACAACUCGCAACUCGGCAGUUUCCAAUCACCCCAACGCAAGAAAAAUAAUCCAGGAGGUAAAGCUCCUUAGCAAUGACGAAAGUAUAGAGUUAUUUAACAGAAAGGCAUUCCCUUCGUAUGUCGUCCAUGGCAGAGAUGAUCUGGAUAGCUUCAGAGAACUUGGCAAGAUACUUGCAUUAAAAUGCAAUGGCUUGCCUCUUGCAAUUGUAGUCAUGGGAGGUUACCUUUCAAAGAAUCUCAGGAUCACCGAGUGGAGAAGAAUGGUUGCCAGUGUAAACUGGGACGCAAUGAAGAAUGAAGGUGACAUCAGAGCCAUACUGGACCUAAGUUACUAUGAUCUGUCAAGUAAUCUGAAGGCGUGCUUUUUGUACAUCACAUCGUUCCCAGAAGACUACGCAGUCCCGGUUGGCCUUCUUACAAAGUUGUGGAUUUCAGAGGGUUUCAUACCAAAUAUGCGUGGAUGCUCCCUUGAAGAAACUGCGCUUGGGUAUGUGGAAGAACUGGCCCAGCGCUGCUUAAUCCUAAUUGAAAAGAGGAGCUCCAGGUGCAUCAAAACCGUUAAGGUGCAUGACGUGUUGCGCGACUGGGGAAUCGGGCGAGCUCGAAGAGAAGGCUUCUUGAAAGACUGCAGUUCCAGAAAUGAAGUGGAGACAUCAUAUUCCAAUGAAAUGAGAGCUUACAGGGUGGUUCUCUACGACUCUGUUUGUGUGAAGGUCGGUGUCGCUAUGCCAAAUCUGCACACCUUGCUGAUCUUCAAUGCAGCUCGGCUAGAAAGGAACGUCUUCUCUUUCCGAGGCUUGAAUUACCUGCGGGUGCUCUACUUUGAUGGCAUGAGAGGGAGAUGGCAGCUACCCACAGAGAUCGGCUCAAUGGUACAUCUGAGGUACCUUGGCUUGAAAGGUGCCACAUAUGUACUUCCUGCUACCGUCAGUAAUCUCACAAACUUGCAUACUUUUGAUGCAAGAGAUGCCAUAGUGGAAGCACUCCCUAUGGAUCUCUUGAGCAUUUCGACACUGAAGCAUGUCCAUAUCUACAAGGUUGAGUCAUGGUCCGUGUGGAAGACCACCAUGCAGAGCAACCUGAAGUCUCUCUUCAUAUUCCUGGCAGCCAACACGCCGAAGCAAUGGGAAGGAGCAAUUGACAGAAUGGAUGAAAGCCCCUCCUGGUGCUUUGGGAAGCACUACCGGAGUGUCAAACAGCUGGAAAUUGUCGGGGCGUGUGAGGACGAGUUCGGAGUGCCCAACGACCUACAUCUUCCUGAUCUGCAUCUCCUCCCGCACAACCUCAGACGGCUGAAAAUUAGCUGUCCUAAUCUGCUGAAUGAUAAAGACCCCAUGCCGACACUUGGGAGCUGGCUGACGUUCCUGAAUGUGUUGGAAAUAGGGGUCAAGUCAUAUACCGGCGCGAUCAUGACCUGCCCUUCUGGUGGGUUUCCAGACCUGCACAAUUUGGUGCUCCACGAUCUGGAUAUUGAGGAGUGGAUACUGGAGGAUGGCGCCAUGCCGAAGCUCAGGAUACUAACUCUCUGCAAGUGCACCAAGCUGAAGGAACUUCCACAAGCAUUGCAGCACCUAAAGGAACUUAAAAAGCUGAAAGUGAUAGCGAUGCCCGAGUUGGAUCAAGUAUUAUGCUACCUGCUACACAAGGCAGGACGCGAGGUCAUCAUCAGGUCAAGUGAGGAGGACUUUGAGCAUGUACAGAUCCCCAAGUAUGACAUUUAA
Molecule: ribosomal RNA, 2646 nt
Filed under: Triticum aestivum (bread wheat)
Lineage: Eukaryota; Viridiplantae; Streptophyta; Magnoliopsida; Poales; Poaceae
Description: partial small subunit ribosomal RNA
Source: RNAcentral